AUUUUAUUGAUGUUGCUGGUGGUAGUGGUGUUAAUAGUGUUGGAAAGAUAUAUUCAACUAGAUGUAGCACUACAGUUUUAGAAAAUGGAGAUAGAAGGCACUUGACACAUGGAAAAGAUGUCAUUUGAUAUUUUUGAGAUAUGUUUUCAUUUUUUUGGUGGAGAAACAUAACAAAAAUAAGCCUCUCAUGUUAUAAAGAGCUAUGUUGUCCACAACACCAAAAAAUUUCAAUCUUUUUUCACAUCUCACAGGAACAACUAAGAAUGUGAGUAGAGGAAUGAAUGACAUGGUUACAUGUUUAAAUUUGUACUUUAGGAAUAAUCUCUGUGAAAAAUAGAUUCAUAGAGGGAAGAAAUAGGAAGCAAAUAAUAAUGAGUUUGUUGUAAAAUUCAGAGAAAAAUGAUGAUGUCAGAAUAAGAAUAAUAGUAUAAUGGUGAUAAAGGAGGCACGGAUUUGAAAGAGAUUUGGGAAUUAGGAUUAUCAAGAGUUAGAUAUUGAUUUCAUGUCAGAGAAAAUGAGAAUAAGCGUAGUUCUCUGGAUUUAAACACAGAAACUCAAGUGCAUUAUUCAUCUUAUUAUGGUCAGUGUACAUAGGAGAAAUAAUCUGCUACAAAAUUACAUUAGUUAUGGACUCUCACAUGGAGAAUCAAUUUGCAAAUGGCAUUUAAUAUUCCAUUCUAAGAGAGAAAACAUUAUACAAAUGAACAACAUACAAGUAGAUGUGGACUUAUAUCUAUGUAUGAAAUGCCUUGGCAGAUUAUAGGUCACAUCAAAAAGAAGAGGGUCCUUGAAAUAAAUUUUGGUACUAUAGUAAGUGACAGGCAGAAGAGAAGUCUCUAAACUCAAGAAGUUAAAAGAACAACAAAUUUAACAUAAAGAAAAUAGAGGGUGAGCCAAAAUAAAAAUAUAAGCAGAAAUCUAAAAAUUAAAAGCAAAUGUCAAAUUUAUUUUCUCUUAUUUUCAUAUAAUUCAGUUGAUUUAAAAGUUCAUUUCUCAUAGUGUACAUUAAAAUUUUGAAUAAUUUUUAAAAAUUUACAAAUCUUCAAGAAAAUAAUAAAAUUUUACAUAUCAAAAAUGACAGUAAGGAAGAAAAACCAAAAUAAAUGGUUCUUGUGAAGAAAUUAAAAGGAGACAUCACUACAGACCUUAAGAGAUAGUAUAAACAUUUCUUGUGUCAUUAAACUUGGCAAUGUAGGGAACAUUUAGAAAAUGUGGAAAAAAAGAAAUUAUGACACCUGAUCCAAGAAGAAAUAAAUUUUUAAUUAAAGAAUUUAAAUCUGCUAAUUUUUUAAAAACUCACCUUCUUAACAAAAAUCCCAGCCCCAGAUAGUUCCACUGGGUAAUUUUUCUAGAUAAUUAAAGAAAAAAUAGUGUCAUUCGUAGGUUUUCCAACAUAUUGAGGAAACACCAUUUCUCAAAUUGCUUUUUGAGGUUAGCAUGACCUCAAAGUCAAAACCCUACAACGUUCACACAAAAAUUAUAGGAGGAUCUGUUAAGAGCAUACAUGUAAAUUUUAAAUAAUCAUGUCAAGUCCAGCAAUAUAUAAAAAAGCAAUACUUAAUAACCAAAUUAUUCUAGAAAAGAGUAGUUAACAUUUUUUCAUUUGGGACCAUUUACCACAUUACAAAAAAAGAAAAAAAAUCCAUAAUAUCCUUGUAAAGUCCAGAAAAAGCAUUUGAUUAAGUUCAAUACUUACCUGUUUCUAUGAUUAAAAAAAAACAAAAACAAAUAGGCAACAAUCGAAGAAGGGAAUUUUGCUCAAUCUGCUUAAAACAACAAAACAGAAAAUACCUUUGAAAAAUGUACAGGAAGUGUACUUAAUGAUGAAUUAUUGAAACCUUCCUCUCUUGAGAUAGGAAACCAGACAAUAACAACCACUACAUGGCUUCUAUUCAGCAUUGUUCUAGAAAUUCUAACUGGUGCAAUAGAUCAAGAAAGAAAAAAAAAUAAUACAUAGGACAGGAAGAAAGACAUUUAAAUGUCAUUGAAUAAGGUAUGGUUAUUGACCGAAAAUUCUAAAGAGAUCAAACUAUUGGAAUUAGUUGAUUUAUCAAUGGCACUGAUUAUAAGCUUGAUACUCAAAAAUUGGAACGAAAAAAUCCAUUUUUAUAUACAAAGAAGUAGAAAAUGUAAAGUAUUACUAUUUUGUAGUAACACUGAAAAUAUCAGCUAAAUAUCCAAAAAAAUGAACAUCUGUGUAGGAAGGAUAUACCAUAUUUAUGAUGACAGAGAACACUGAAAGAUGUCAGUUCUGUAAAAAUCAAUAUUGAUAAGCGAAAAAUCUUAACCUUAUUUUUGUGAAAAUUAAGCUAUUCUAGAAUGUAUGUGGAAAUGUAAAGGCUAAGAGUAAGGCAACAUUGAAGAACAAGUGUGUGACAUUUCCAUAUUAAAAAGCUUGAGUAAGACAGGUACUAUUAGAAGUCUGAUUUUUUUUUAAGCUAAUAAUACUACUGCCCAGUAAAGGGAAUAUUUUUUCUUUUUUUUUUUCUUAGUGAGAGAGAGAGAGAGAGUUUUAUAAUAUUUAUUUUUUAGUUUUUGGCGGACACAACAUCUUUGUAUGUGGUGCUGAGGAUCGAACCCGGGCCACAUGCAUGCCAGGCGAGCGCACUACCACUUGAGCCACAUCCCCAGCCCCAGGAAUAUUUUUUUCAGUAAAUGGUGCUACAUUAAUUGGAUAUCUGUUUGGAAUAGAAAAACUUAAUUCACCACAAAUAAGAAUUACAGAUUGUAUGUUUAAUUGUAAAAAGUAAAUCAAUAAAGCUGUUUUAAAAAGAGGAAAAUAUCUUCAUAACCUUAGGAUAGGCUUAAAUUAAAUUAAAUUAAAGCACUAAGGAUCAUCAGAGGAGAAAAAAAGAUGGUGUAAAGGAGAAAACAUGGUAUAACGUUAAAAUUUUUAAGCACUUUAUCAAAAGGCAUUGUUUAAAGUGAAAAGACAACCAACAAGUAUAAGGUUUUUGUAAUAAGUCUAAUAACUCAUUCACAAUAUAGAAAUGACUACAAAUCAAAAGACCUCAGCAAAGGAAAAGUCACAGGACUUUAAUACAUUGUGUCCCAUCAUCCUACGUGGAAUUGAACAGUUGGGACUUAAUGGUUAACCCAAGACUAUUAAAGCAGUCAAUAAAAGCUUUAUUAAAGGAGAAUGUGAGAUCACAUUUAGAAAAUUUUUUGUGCUACAUUUACUAAAACUAAGCAUGUUCAUACCUUUGACUAGAAAUUUUUAAUUCCUGAAUAGUAUGCACCCAUAGUAAUGUAUAUAUUUGUUCACCCAGAUAUAUGUAAAAUAUUUAGAAGCUCCCAAAUAAAGCUCUACAAACAGAUGUGUUCUGAAAAGUGUAUCUCUCCUCUCAAUUAUACCCAUCCCUUCAGGAAAUUGAUUUAUUUCUGCUUAUACUAUUUUCAAACUAUAUAAACACUUAUAAAUUAUACCAUCCAGUGUG
This 3437-nucleotide long non-coding RNA is filed under the name Marmota monax (woodchuck). The record is from RNAcentral. Lineage: Eukaryota; Metazoa; Chordata; Mammalia; Rodentia; Sciuridae.